AUUCAUAACACUCCCCCUGAUGAC
RNAcentral lists this non-coding RNA (24 nucleotides) under Arabidopsis thaliana (thale cress). Lineage: Eukaryota; Viridiplantae; Streptophyta; Magnoliopsida; Brassicales; Brassicaceae. The record is from RNAcentral.